GUAGCAGAGCAAUGAGUAUGUCCCAGGAGCAUUUGCAGUCAUCGUCUCCAGAUUAUGAGAUUCCCAUGCUCCACAACCCUCAGUCUAUGAACAUCAUGCAGAGCGAACCUUGGACGUCCCUUGACGAAAUCAAACCAGCAAAUCAGAAGGACAGCCUGUUGCUACCGUUGUUAUCAUAUUAACCCCAUACCGAAGAAGCUCAGAGAUAUAAAUGCUGUUUAAUAUGUGCUAGUCUCAACAUACCCCGUGUCUGGUGUGAACAUGUACAAUUGAAGGUCUCUACAAACCCCAUGUCUGGUGUGAACAUGUACAAUUGGAGGUCUCUACAUACCCCAUGUCUGGUGCGAACAUGUACAAUUGAGGGCUCUACAUACCCCAUGUCUGGUGUGAACAUGUACAAUUGAAGGUCUCUUCAUACCCCAUGUCUGGUGUGAACAUGUACAAUUGAAGGUCUCUACAUACCCCAUGUCUGGUGUGAACAUGUACAAUUGAAGGUCUCUGCAUACCCCAUGUCUGGUGUGAACAUGUACAAUUGAAGGUCUCUGCAUACCCCAUGUCUGGUGUGAACAUGUACAAUUGAAGGUCUCUGCAUACCCCAUGUCUGGUGUGAACAUGUACAAUUGAAGGUCUCUACAUACCCCAUGUCUGGUGUGAACAUGUACAAUUGAAGGUCUCUUCAUACCCCAUGUCUGGUGUGAACAUGUACAAUUGAAGAUCUCUACAUACCCCAUGUCUGGUGUGAACAUGUACAAUUGAAGGUCUCUACAUACCCCAUGUCUGGUGUGAACAUGUACAAUUGAAGAUCUCUACAUACCCCAUGUCUGGUGUGAACAUGUACAAUUGAAUGUCUCAUCUUAGAAAUUUGGACACGUGGAAAAUUAGUGACUUGAUUCAGACAGAAAUCGCAUAAUGACAAAUCACAACAAAAAGUGGAAAUCCAGAAAUUCUUGUGGCCAGCAAUGUUUUUAUGUGACUGACCAAGUAGUGUUCAAAGAAAAACAAUAGUUCAUGUUUUAUUGGAACUAUGAUGUUGUCAGUCAUUUUAUGUUGAAGGCUUUAAAUAACUAUAUUUAAAUAUAAUACGAUUAAGAUUACUUGAUAAAAGAAAUAAUGUAAAAUAGUAUUUUAAGCGCAAAAUUUACAAGUCUAUCCAAUAACUGUGUCUGUAUUAUGACAUUUUAUUUUGGAAAUGUUAAGGAAAAUAUAAUGUUAGUAAAUAUAUUUCUAUGAAUGUUGAUUUUAACAUUUGUCAAAGCUGUUUAAAUGAUGCUGGUAAUUUUGUUUUAUGAAAUGUAUUAUUUUCAUGUAAUGAGACAUGCUUCAGUUUUUUUGUGGCUUAACCUGUAAUAUAGAGGUGGUAGUUACAAGAAUUGUUUAGCCAGAUGGAGAAUGUUUAUGCUAUGGCUUUGAUACUCUUAAGUGUGCCAAUUGGUGUCAGGUUUAUAUCAAGAAUAUUGUUUAUUGUCUUACAAUUUCUUGAAAAUAUUGAUUAAUUUUAGACAAAAUCAUUUAAUCUUCCUUAAAUUGUCUAUUCUGUAUUUACGACCAGUUAUUUAUUAAUUUGCUUGAACAUGAUUUAAGAAUGACUUUUUUGUUGCUUAAAAUGCUUUAUAUGUUUUAAAACUGAGCAUUUAAAAACGAAAAUGUAGGAUGUGGGAAUAAUGUCUAAAGUUAUGAUAAUUAUUUUUUGUUUUUGUAAAGUUAAUUAUGCUUUAUAUGUUUGUGUAUAGGCAUUUAGACGACCAGAUUAACCUGACCAAGAAUCCUUGAUCAAUGUGUUUAUCGGUCAGUUCAUUUGUCAUUUGUAUAAAGAGCGAUUGCGAAAUGAUUGUAUUGUUAAUGAAAAUCAUGCGUUUAUUGUUGCCAUUUUGAUUUUCGCUGUUAAUAUGUAUUUGUACAAACAAUUUUCAUCAUGUACAUCUUUCAGAUGCCAGAUAAUAAAAACAAACAUUGCUUGUGGAGAUGCUCAUUUAAAACCUUCUUAAUGAUACAGAACAACACAUUCUGAAGAGGCAAAUAUCCUUUAGGCAAAAGGAAAAUCUUGUUACUAGUAUAUGUACUGCUUUUUAUUAAAUAAAGUCAAGCAACUAUUGAAAGAUUGGUUUAACUUUGUUUUGCAUUAUCUUAAGAAAAAUUAAUAUAUACUACUUGGAAAUCAGUCAAUUGCAAAUCAAGCAAGCGUGAUUUAACAUGCUAACACUUGUCAAUAAUUGAAUUGUCUCUCUUUGUACGUAAGAUAUAGGGAUGUUGUUGCUUGAAAAACAAAGUUGUGUCCGU
Molecule: long non-coding RNA, 2277 nt
Organism: Dreissena polymorpha
Lineage: Eukaryota; Metazoa; Mollusca; Bivalvia; Myida; Dreissenidae
Exons: 3
Source: RefSeq, a predicted model, not a curated record